Molecule: ribosomal RNA, 2161 nt
Filed under: metagenome
Description: bacterial LSU rRNA
Rfam family: Bacterial large subunit ribosomal RNA
Source: RNAcentral
UACCACGGGCGCACGGCGGAUGCCUUGGCACAGGGAGCCGAUGAAGGACGCGGCAAGCUGCGAUAAUCCCCGGCGAGGAGCACACAUCCUUCGACCCGGGGGUCUCCGAAUGGGCGAACCCAUGCACAGCAGUGUGCAUAUCCCCCCGCUGAACACAUAGGCSGGGGGAGGACAACCCGGGGAACUGAAACAUCUAAGUACCCGGAGGAGAGGAAAUCAAUCUCGAGACUCCCCGAGUAGCGGCGAGCGAAAGGGGACCGAUGGCCAAACCGUCGAGCGGGCAUACCCGGCAGGGGUUCCGCCGACGGGGUUGCAGGGCCGCGCAUCCGGGGGCUGCCGCCCCCGGGCGCAGGUCCGGCUGGGGAGCGGAACGGCAUGGGAGGGCCGGCCGCAGCGGGUGACAGCCCCGUACGCGAACCCAGACCGGACGGCGCGACGCGGUCCCUGAGUAGGGCCGGGCACGUGAAACCCGGUCCGAACCUGGGUGGACCACCAUCCAAGCCUGAGUACUACCCUGUGACCGAUAGCGCACCAGUACCGUGAGGGAAAGGUGAAAAGCACCCCGGGAGGGGAGUGAAACAGUACCUGAAACCGUGCGCCCACGAGCAGUCGGAGCACCUUUWAGGUGUGACGGCGUGCCUUUUGUAGAAUGAGCCAGCGAGUCGCUGGCGCGGGGCGAGGUUAACCGAAAGGGAGCCGGAGCGAAAGCGAGCCUUAACAGGGCGACUUGAGUCCCGCGCCGCGGACGCGAAGCCGGGUGAGCUAUCCGUGGGCAGGCUGAAGCGGGGGUAAGACCCCGUGGAGGGCCGAACGCACGUCGGUUGAAAACGGCGGCGAUGACCUGCGGAUAGGGGUGAAAGGCCAAUCAAACCCGGAGAUAUCUCGUUCUCCCCGAAAUAGCUUUAGGGCUAGCGUCGCGCGUUCACCGCCGGAGGUAGAGCACCGGAUGGACGAGGGGGCUUCGCCGCCUACCGAAUCCAACCGAACUCCGAAUGCCGGCGGCCCAGAGCGCGGCAGUCAGAGCAUGUGGGCUAAGCUGUGUGCUCGAGAGGGAAACAGCCCGGACCGCCCGCUAAGGUCCCCAAGUUCCAGCCGAGUGGCAAAGGAUGUGCGUCCGCCCAGACAACCAGGAUGUUGGCUUAGAAGCAGCCAUMCAUUCAAAGAGUGCGUAACAGCUCACUGGUCGAGUGGACAUGCGCCGACAAUACACGGGGCUAAGCUGGACACCGAAGCGGCGGGAUUUUAAUUYAUUAGAAUCGGUAGGGGAGCUUCCCAUGGGCGGAGAAGCCGGAGGGCGACCGACGGUGGAGCGCAUGGGAGUGAGAAUGCUGGCAUGAGUAGCGAGAGACGAGAGAGUAACUCGUCCGCCGUGAACCCGAGGUUUCCUGGGCAAGGCUAAUCCUCCCAGGGUCAGUCGGGGGCUAAGGCGAGGCCGGGAGGCGUAGCCGACGCGCAGCAGGCAGACAUUCCUGCACCGCGCACGCGGCGCUACGACCGACGGGGCGACGGAUGGGGGUGGCUCGGCGGGGUUCUGGACGUCCCCGUGAUGGAGCGCGGCCCGCGGACCAGGGAAAUCCGGUCCGCAUYGAGGGCGAGGCUCCGGACGAAGCGACUGAGCGAAGCGAGUGAGCCCGAGGUCCCUAGAAAAACCCCUAGGCAGGCGCGUGCGCGCCCGUACCGCAAACCGACACAGGUGGGUGGGUAGAACAUACCGAGGCGAUCGGGUCAACCAUGGUCAAGGAACUCGGCACAAUGGCCCCGUAACUUCGGGAGAAGGGGUGCCCGCGCGUACGUGAACCGGCUCGCCCGGGGAGCGGAGGCGGGCCGCAGUGGAGAGGCCCAAGCGACUGUUUACCAAAAACACAGGACUCUGCAGAAGCCGCAAGGCGACGUAUAGGGUCUGACGCCUGCCCGGUGCCGGAAGGUCACGCGGAGGAGUUAGCGCAUCGCGCGAAGCCCCGAAGCCAAGCCCCGGUAAACGGCGGCCGUAACUAUAACGGUCCUAAGGUAGCGAAAUUCCUUGUCGGGUAAGUUCCGACCUGCACGAAAGGCGCAACGACUUGGGCGCUGUCUCGACCAUGGACCCGGUGAAAUUGCACUGGUCGUGAAGAUGCGACUUACCCGCGGAAGGACGGAAAGACCCCGUGAACCUUCACUGCAG